AGUGAACGCUGGCGGUAGGCCUAACACAUGCAAGUCGAACGGCAGCACAGGAGAGCUUGCUCUCUGGGUGGCGAGUGGCGGACGGGUGAGGAAUACAUCGGAAUCUACUUUUUCGUGGGGGAUAACGUAGGGAAACUUACGCUAAUACCGCAUACGACCUACGGGUGAAAGCAGGGGACCUUCGGGCCUUGCGCGAUUGAAUGAGCCGAUGUCGGAUUAGCUAGUUGGCGGGGUAAAGGCCCACCAAGGCGACGAUCCGUAGCUGGUCUGAGAGGAUGAUCAGCCACACUGGAACUGAGACACGGUCCAGACUCCUACGGGAGGCAGCAGUGGUGAAUAUUGGACAAUGGGCGCAAGCCUGAUCCAGCCAUACCGCGUGGGUGAAGAAGGCCUUCGGGUUGUAAAGCCCUUUUGUUGGGAAAGAAAUCCAGCUGGCUAAUACCCGGUUGAGAUGACGGUACCCAAAGAAUAAGCACCGGCUAACUUCGUGCCAGCCGCCGCGGUAA
RNAcentral lists this ribosomal RNA (506 nucleotides) under uncultured bacterium. RNAcentral describes it as "partial 16S ribosomal RNA". It matches the Rfam family "Bacterial small subunit ribosomal RNA", at positions 29 to 523 of the family's 1533-position model. The record is from RNAcentral.